Molecule: long non-coding RNA, 91 nt
Organism: Dipodomys ordii (Ord's kangaroo rat)
Lineage: Eukaryota; Metazoa; Chordata; Mammalia; Rodentia; Heteromyidae
Exons: 4
Source: RefSeq, a predicted model, not a curated record
UUGGGGAUUUAGCUAAGUGGAAGAGCCCUUGCCUGGCAAGUGCAAGAGCCUGAAUUUGGUCCUCAGCUCUGAAAAAAUAAAGAUAGGGAAA